Molecule: ribosomal RNA, 331 nt
Filed under: Klebsiella variicola
Lineage: Bacteria; Pseudomonadati; Pseudomonadota; Gammaproteobacteria; Enterobacterales; Enterobacteriaceae
Description: bacterial SSU rRNA
Rfam family: Bacterial small subunit ribosomal RNA
Source: RNAcentral
CCUUAUCCUUUGUUGCCAGCGGUUAGGCCGGGAACUCAAAGGAGACUGCCAGUGAUAAACUGGAGGAAGGUGGGGAUGACGUCAAGUCAUCAUGGCCCUUACGACCAGGGCUACACACGUGCUACAAUGGCAUAUACAAAGAGAAGCGACCUCGCGAGAGCAAGCGGACCUCAUAAAGUAUGUCGUAGUCCGGAUUGGAGUCUGCAACUCGACUCCAUGAAGUCGGAAUCGCUAGUAAUCGUAGAUCAGAAUGCUACGGUGAAUACGUUCCCGGGCCUUGUACACACCGCCCGUCACACCAUGGGAGUGGGUUGCAAAAGAAGUAGGUAGC